CCUACGGGAGGCAGCAGUGGGGAAUUUUGGACAAUGGGCGCACAGUGAUCCAGCCAUGCCGCGUGAGUGAAGAAGGCCUUCGGGUUGUAAAGCUCUUUCGCGAGGGAAGAAAACGCAACGGUUAAUACCUGUUGUGGAUGACGGUACCUUGAUAAGAAGCACCGGCUAACUACGUGCCAGCAGCCGCGGUAAUACGUAGGGUGCGAGCGUUAAUCGGAAUUACUGGGCGUAAAGCGUGCGCAGGCGGUUUUUUAAGACAGGCGUGAAAUCCCCGGGCUCAACCUGGGAAUGGCGCUUGUGACUGGAAGGCUUGAGUAUGGCAGAGGGGGGUAGAAUUCCACGUGUAGCAGUGAAAUGCGUAGAGAUGUGGAGGAAUACCGAUGGCGAAGGCAGCCCCCUGGCCAAUACUGACGCUCAUGCACGAAAGCGUGGGGAGCAAACAGGAUUAGAUACCCUGGUAGUCCACGCCCUAAACGAUGUUAACUAGGUGUUGGGUGGGUAAAACCAUUUAGUACCGUAGCUAACGCGUGAAGUUGACCGCCUGGGGAGUACGGCCGCAAGGUUAAAACUCAAAUGAAUUGACGG
RNAcentral lists this ribosomal RNA (585 nucleotides) under uncultured beta proteobacterium. Its description in RNAcentral is "bacterial SSU rRNA". It matches the Rfam family "Bacterial small subunit ribosomal RNA", at positions 338 to 916 of the family's 1533-position model. Lineage: Bacteria; Pseudomonadati; Pseudomonadota; Betaproteobacteria. The record is from RNAcentral.